AAGUCGUAACAAGGUUUCCGUAGGUGAACCUGCGGAAGGAUCAUUAUCAAUUAUCCACACCACACUGUGCAUUUUGAUGUUUGUGGCUUUGCUUGCAGAGCCACCUUUUAAACACAAACCACAAGUCUUUAUACAAGAAAUCUAAACAACUUUUAACAAUGGAUCUCUUGGCUCCU
RNAcentral lists this unclassified non-coding RNA (176 nucleotides) under fungal sp. Its description in RNAcentral is "partial internal transcribed spacer region". The stretch from base 1 to 46 matches the Rfam family "Eukaryotic small subunit ribosomal RNA", at positions 1786 to 1831 of the family's 1831-position model. Lineage: Eukaryota; Fungi. The record is from RNAcentral.